UUAAGCGACUAAGCGUACACGGUGGAUGCCCUGGCAGUCAGAGGCGAUGAAGGACGUGCUAAUCUGCGAUAAGCGUCGGUGAGGUGAUAUGAACCGUUAUAACCGGCGAUUUCCGAAUGGGGAAACCCAGUGUGUUUCGACACACUAUCAUUAACUGAAUCCAUAGGUUAAUGAGGCGAACCGGGGGAACUGAAACAUCUAAGUACCCCGAGGAAAAGAAAUCAACCGAGAUUCCCCCAGUAGCGGCGAGCGAACGGGGAGGAGCCCAGAGCCUGAAUCAGUGUGUGUGUUAGUGGAAGCGUCUGGAAAGGCGCGCGAUACAGGGUGACAGCCCCGUACACAAAAAUGCACAUAUUGUGAGCUCGAUGAGUAGGGCGGGACACGUGGUAUCCUGUCUGAAUAUGGGGGGACCAUCCUCCAAGGCUAAAUACUCCUGACUGACCGAUAGUGAACCAGUACCGUGAGGGAAAGGCGAAAAGAACCCCGGCGAGGGGAGUGAAAAAGAACCUGAAACCGUGUACGUACAAGCAGUGGGAGCCUCUUAAUGGGGUGACUGCGUACCUUUUGUAUAAUGGGUCAGCGACUUAUAUUCUGUAGCAAGGUUAACCGAAUAGGGGAGCCGAAGGGAAACCGAGUCUUAACUGGGCGUUAAGUUGCAGGGUAUAGACCCGAAACCCGGUGAUCUAGCCAUGGGCAGGUUGAAGGUUGGGUAACACUAACUGGAGGACCGAACCGACUAAUGUUGAAAAAUUAGCGGAUGACUUGUGGCUGGGGGUGAAAGGCCAAUCAAACCGGGAGAUAGCUGGUUCUCCCCGAAAGCUAUUUAGGUAGCGCCUCGUGAAUUCAUCUCCGGGGGUAGAGCACUGUUUCGGCAAGGGGGUCAUCCCGACUUACCAACCCGAUGCAAACUGCGAAUACCGGAGAAUGUUAUCACGGGAGACACACGGCGGGUGCUAACGUCCGUCGUGAAGAGGGAAACAACCCAGACCGCCAGCUAAGGUCCCAAAGUCAUGGUUAAGUGGGAAACGAUGUGGGAAGGCCCAGACAGCCAGGAUGUUGGCUUAGAAGCAGCCAUCAUUUAAAGAAAGCGUAAUAGCUCACUGGUCGAGUCGGCCUGCGCGGAAGAUGUAACGGGGCUAAACCAUGCACCGAAGCUGCGGCAGCGACACUAUGUGUUGUUGGGUAGGGGAGCGUUCUGUAAGCCUGUGAAGGUGGCCUGUGAGGGUUGCUGGAGGUAUCAGAAGUGCGAAUGCUGACAUAAGUAACGAUAAAGCGGGUGAAAAGCCCGCUCGCCGGAAGACCAAGGGUUCCUGUCCAACGUUAAUCGGGGCAGGGUGAGUCGACCCCUAAGGCGAGGCCGAAAGGCGUAGUCGAUGGGAAACAGGUUAAUAUUCCUGUACUUGGUGUUACUGCGAAGGGGGGACGGAGAAGGCUAUGUUGGCCGGGCGACGGUUGUCCCGGUUUAAGCGUGUAGGCUGGUUUUCCAGGCAAAUCCGGAAAAUCAAGGCUGAGGCGUGAUGACGAGGCACUACGGUGCUGAAGCGACAAAUGCCCUGCUUCCAGGAAAAGCCUCUAAGCAUCAGGUAACAUCAAAUCGUACCCCAAACCGACACAGGUGGUCAGGUAGAGAAUACCAAGGCGCUUGAGAGAACUCGGGUGAAGGAACUAGGCAAAAUGGUGCCGUAACUUCGGGAGAAGGCACGCUGAUAUGUAGGUGAAGCGACUUGCUCGUGGAGCUGAAAUCAGUCGAAGAUACCAGCUGGCUGCAACUGUUUAUUAAAAACACAGCACUGUGCAAACACGAAAGUGGACGUAUACGGUGUGACGCCUGCCCGGUGCCGGAAGGUUAAUUGAUGGGGUUAGCGGUAACGCGAAGCUCUUGAUCGAAGCCCCGGUAAACGGCGGCCGUAACUAUAACGGUCCUAAGGUAGCGAAAUUCCUUGUCAGGU
Molecule: ribosomal RNA, 1949 nt
Filed under: human metagenome
Description: bacterial LSU rRNA
Rfam family: Bacterial large subunit ribosomal RNA
Source: RNAcentral